GAAUGGAAUAAGGAACGGGGAAAGCUACGGGAUCGACAUAAUAAUGUGACAGCUUGCAUCAGAAAACCUUUCUCAUCGCAAUUCUGUUGUCAGGACAAAAACAGCCCGAAUCUCAGCAGGUGCUACGGCAGGAAUGGAAUAAGGAAUGGGGAAAGCUACGGGAUCGACAUCAAUAAUGUGACAGCUUGCAUCAGAAAACCUUUCUCAUCGCAAUUUUGUUGUCAGAACAAAAACAGCCCGAAUCUCGGCAGGUGCUAUGGUAGCGUGUCAGAUUGCCAAUCCAAUUGGCCUAAUGUUCUUGACCCUCAUGUGUGA
RNAcentral lists this long non-coding RNA (315 nucleotides) under Oryza sativa Indica Group (long-grained rice). RNAcentral describes it as "lncRNA OsPr106_09g0003920". Lineage: Eukaryota; Viridiplantae; Streptophyta; Magnoliopsida; Poales; Poaceae. The record is from RNAcentral.